GUGAAUCAUCAAAUUUUUGAACGCAAAUUGCUCUCUCUGGUAUUCCGGAGAGUAUGCCUGUUUGAGGGUCAGUUUUAAUAAAAAUCGGUGUGGUUGCUGCCUUUCGUGGUUACGCACCGGAUUUGGGUCGUCUUGCCUUCGGUUAAGUGACCUAAAAUUUUCCAUGUUUUUUUUCGAACGUAUUUAAAUGAUUUUUCGUAUGUUUGCGAUAUCGAAAUCUCGGAGUGGUCAUCCUCA
This 237-nucleotide unclassified non-coding RNA is filed under the name Glomeraceae sp. Its description in RNAcentral is "partial contains 5.8S ribosomal RNA and internal transcribed spacer 2". The stretch from base 1 to 71 matches the Rfam family "5.8S ribosomal RNA", at positions 84 to 154 of the family's 154-position model. Lineage: Eukaryota; Fungi; Glomeromycota; Glomeromycetes; Glomerales; Glomeraceae. The record is from RNAcentral.